Long non-coding RNA from Oncorhynchus tshawytscha (Chinook salmon), 946 nucleotides. Lineage: Eukaryota; Metazoa; Chordata; Actinopteri; Salmoniformes; Salmonidae. The record is from Ensembl.
UCUUGGUCUCUGGGUCUUGGUCUCUGGGUCUCUAGGUCUCUGGGUGUCUGGGUCUCUGGGGCUUGGUCUCUGGGUCUGGGUCACUGGGUCUCUGGGUCUCUGGGUCUGGGUCUCUGGGUCUUGGUCUCUGGGUCUCUGGGUCUGGGUCGCUGGGUCUCUGGGUCUCUGGGUCUCUGGGUCUCUGGGUCUCUGGGUCUUGGUCUCUGGGUCUGGGUCUCUGGGUCUUGGUCUCUGGGUCUGUGUCGCUGGGUCUCUGGGUCUGGGUCUCUGGGUCGUGGUCUCUGGGUUGCUGGGCCUCUGGGUCUUGGUCUCUGGGUCUCUGGGUCUUGGUCUCUGGGUCUCUGGGUCUGGGUCGCUGGGUCUCUGGGUCUCUGGGUCUCUGGGUCUGGGUAUCUGGGUCUCUGGGUCUCUGGGUCUGGGUCUCUGGGUCUGGGUCUCUGGGUCUCUGGGUCUGGGUCGCUGGGUCUCUGGGUCUCUGGGUCUUGGUCUCUGGGUCUGCUGGGUCUCUCUGGUCUCUGGGUCGCUGGGUAUCUGGGUCUCUGGGUCCCUGGGUCUCUGGGUCUUGGUCUCUGGGUCUCUAGGUCUCUGGGUUUCUGGGUCUCUGCGGCUUGGUCUCUGGGUCUGGGUCACUGGGUCUCUGGGUCUCUGGGUCUCUGGGUCUCUGGGUCUGAGUCGCAGGGUCUCUGGAUCUCUGGAUCUCUGGGUCACUAGGUCUCUGGGUCUCUGGGUCUGGGUCUCUGGGUCUGGGUCUGGGUCUCUGGGUAUGAGUCUCUGUGUCUAGGUCUGGGUCACUGGGUCUUUGGGCCUGGGUCUAGGUCUCUGAGUCUUUGGGUCUCCGUCUGUGGGUCUGGGUCUCCGUGUCUCUCGGGUCUCUGCGUCUCUCGUGUUUCUGUGUCUCUGUGUCUCUGGGUCUGGGCUGAAUCAAAUGCUUGGCUGUUGACUCCAG